GAUGAACGCUGGCGGCGUGCCUAACACAUGCAAGUCGAACGGAGAUUACGGACGGAAGUUUUCGGAUGGAAGCCUGUAAUUCUUAGUGGCGGACGGGUGAGUAACGCGUGUGCAACCUGCCCUAUACAGGGGGAUAGCAGCUGGAAACGGCUGGUAAGACCGCCUACGUCGGUUAAAUCGCAUGAUUUGAUCGGGAAAUGAGCAAUCAGGUAUAGGAUGGGCCCGCGUCCGAUUAGCCAGUUGGCAGGGUAAAAGCCUACCAAAGCGACGAUCGGUAGCCGGACUGAGAGGUCGGACGGAGACAGUGGGAGUGAGACACGGCCGAAACUCCUACGGGAGGCAGCAGUGGGGGACAGUGCAAAAUGGAGGAAACUCUGAUGCAGCGAGGCCGCGUGAGUGAAGAAGUAUUUCGGUAUGUAAAGCGCUAGUAGCAGGGAAGAUGAUGACGGUACCUGACUAAGAAGCCACGGCUAACUACGUG
This 481-nucleotide ribosomal RNA is filed under the name uncultured bacterium. RNAcentral describes it as "partial 16S ribosomal RNA". It matches the Rfam family "Bacterial small subunit ribosomal RNA", at positions 28 to 507 of the family's 1533-position model. The record is from RNAcentral.